CCCAAUUUCGUGGAUCGAUGCUCAUGAUAUUAAUCAGACUCGAUUAUUAACAGACCGGCGUUAAUUAACAAACAAAAAAAUCAUAUUACCGAGAUUAUGACACAAUUACGUAUUAAAUACCAAAAACAACAUUUUAAAAGUUUUCGGUGAUCGCAACUUUCUCCUCAGUCUUUUACGAAUGCUUUAUUACUAUCAUUAAAUGGAAACAUCCAAAUAGUUCAUUUAUACGAGAUAUUGAAAAAUGCAGACGUGUAUAUAUCGUAGUUUUAAAUCAAGGUUGAAAUCAGGCACGAAAUGAUUUACACAUCUUUUCGUGAAGCAUAGGACAUCCUUAAACCCAAUUCAGUAAACUCUUUUACCCUGAUAGUCUUACCUUCUGCUUGUAGAUCUGGCAAAAUACAUAGGAGGUCUAUCAUAUGAACUUUCUGAGCAGCUAAUCAUCGACCAGGCCCCAAAUUCUCCGUACGAGCGAACUAAGCAUUCAGAGCAGCAUAUCCGAAGAACGUAAACGAACGAAAAAAUAAUACUGGCUUCGCUUUGUUUUCGAUGUUUGAUCUACAGCCUGGCAGGUUGUCUUUUCUGAACGAGGGAACAUUUGUAGACCAGUUCAAAUCAAAAUGUCCGAAUCGGGAACAGGUGGUAAAGAAAUAUCUGCAGCAGAAACUUUGAAUAUGGUGACAUAUUGUGGGUGUGUCUCAUGUUUCAAACUACGAGAUCAGAAUUUUCUUUUGUUGUGGUUAUCAUUGUUUAUACCAAACAUUACUAAAACAGCGCUUGUAGCUGCGCAACGCUGCAAUAUUUUUGAGGCGGCUUCAAGCAAUAUUUACUGUCACACACUUGAAGCGACGUUCAAGGCCCCCGUGUUAAGAAAGCUGUCAUUUGAUUGGUAUAAAAAAACAUACACUCCCUUCAAUUUUAUUUAGGCUGUCACAGUUCGCUCAGGGUACAUCUGACGGGACUCCUAUGAAGGGUGUGCCAUCAGACAAAGAAAAGGUAUCUGAUUUCAGUGUGAUUGUCCUAUGACCGUAUGGAAAACCCAAAUGAAUCAUAAAUAUCACUGUAUUGGUUUACAUAAAAAUAAGACUGUAUUUCAAUUCGUAUAUGUUUACAAAGUUUAAUCUUGAUGUUACACAACAGGCUGCUUGAAUUACUUUACGUUAUGCAAGAAUGAUUAUUUUGUAGUUGUAAGUGUAACAUCUAAAACAUAUAUUACAUUGAUUGACAUAAAUAGCUUUUUAAGGUGCGAGAAUGCAUUUACGUGUGUUUGCACAUUCGAAUAUAAUGGGCAUUUGUGGCCGUUUAUUAUACAUAUACUGAUAUAUACCUGCUUUGGGAAAAGGACAAUAUAUGUUCUUCUGUUAUCGUUAUGUCUAUAGUAAUAUUGAUGUGUCUUGUCGUAUUCAAAUGAAACAAAUAAGACACUGCUAAGACAUGAAAAGGAGUUCUUUUCGGGAUACGACACGCUUCUAAUUGGUUCCAGUGUGAAACUUUAUAUGUGAAAUUACGUUUGUGUCGCUUUGUCAACUACACAUCAACUUCAAGAAAACUGAUGACUUGAACCUCGUGGCACUUGAAAACGGAACAAUAUACAUAAGUGAUUGAGAGAACAAGACUUAAACUCCGUGUUGAUAGAGUACAUGCGCGGUCGAUGACAUAAGUCCUGCAGUUCUACAUACAAGUUGUGUUGACCGUUGUGUCAUGGUUCAGAACUACCCGGUUACAUCCAGAAGGGCGGGGCUGGAGAGUGUUAGGGUGAUGGACACUGGUCUCAACCUACACUGCGAAGUUACAAAAACGCAGUCCCUGGAAACUUCAGACAAGAAAUGUGCAGAUUCGCCAAAGCGCAGCCACGUGCAAACCAUGGGACCAAUACAUAAGCCUCUUCUGCACGUGCAACACGAUCACCAACAGUAUAAAAGUGCACCUGUAUUUCGCAGACUGUAGACCGCCAUCAAAUGCCACUACAACGGCCGUUUGGAAGCAGGGGAAUCCAGAUCAGCCGUUGCUAGGGCGAUUAGUGUGUCCCCAUGCACUGUCACAAGACUGUGGGACCGAUAUCAACAACACGGGACAACACGUGACCGACCCAGAUCAGGUGACAACCUCCCUCCCAGGAACGUUGCAUAUACGGGUACGCCACCUACGGCAACUGACGACCACCGCACACUUCACAUCAACAGCAAUACCAGGUCUGCAUAAGCGAGGCAGGCAUUUUACCAGACGACAUGUUCAUGGUAUCCUUUUGACACAGCAACACCGCCAACGACGAGAUCAGUGGUGUCAGGAUAUCUGAUCUGUCAUUUCAGCAACGUUCAUUUGAGUUAACUUUUGACUGAGCAAAAUGUUGACAUUAUCUGAUUGUACUAAUCAAUAUUUGUACCAAGGAAUCUUCUCAGUGUCAUCAAAAUGUGUGUCUUUAUCUUUUAUUCUGUGCGUAUAUUUUGGAAAUCUUGCUUAUAUUAAAUAUGUAUUUAUCCAUCUUAGAUUUGAACUCAUCUUUGAAAUAUUAAACAAAUUAUUCCAAUAGACUUGAUAUUUGAUUACAACGUUCCGCCCCAAAAUACAUGUAACUUGGGGCUGAAGUGUAAUAAAAGAAUCAGUUAACUGUUUUCUCCACUUGAAAAAUGUAGAUUUACAUUAAAUAUAUUAAUAUAUGUUUCAACGUUUUCGUUCAUGUUUUAUCAGAUCGUAUGAGUAUCCAUG
RNAcentral lists this long non-coding RNA (2703 nucleotides) under Haliotis rufescens (red abalone). RNAcentral's name for it is "uncharacterized LOC124116657". The record is from RNAcentral. Lineage: Eukaryota; Metazoa; Mollusca; Gastropoda; Lepetellida; Haliotidae.